RNAcentral lists this ribosomal RNA (957 nucleotides) under uncultured bacterium. Its description in RNAcentral is "bacterial SSU rRNA". It matches the Rfam family "Bacterial small subunit ribosomal RNA", at positions 8 to 994 of the family's 1533-position model. The record is from RNAcentral.
AGAGUUUUGAUCAUGGCUCAGGACGAACGCUGGCGGCAUGCCUAACACAUGCAAGUCUAGGGGUAGCAAUACCACUGGCGCACGGGUGAGUAACACGUAGGUUAUCUGCCCCCAUCACAGACAUAACCCCGGGAAACCGGGGCUAAUAUCUGAUGAGGUCGCGAGAUCAAAGCUUCGGCGGAUGGGGAUGAGCCUGCGGCUGAUUAGCUAGUUGGUGAGGUAAUGGCUCACCAAGGCGACGAUCAGUAGCUGGUCUGAGAGGACGAACAGCCACACUGGAACUGAGACACGGUCCAGACUCCUACGGGAGGCAGCAGUGAGGAAUAUUGGUCAAUGGGAGCAAUCCUGAACCAGCAAUGCCGCGUGUGGGAUGACAGGGCUUCGCCUUGUAAACCACUGUCGGACGGGACGAAAGGAGGCCACGGGCCUCUGGGACGGUACCGUCAAAGGAAGGGUCGGCUAACUACGUGCCAGCAGCCGCGGUAAUACGUAGGACCCGAGCGUUGUCCGGAUUUACUGGGUAUAAAGGGUGCGUAGGCGGCCUUGUGCGUCAGAGGUGAAAUAUCCGGGCUUAACCCGGAGGGUGCCUUUGAUACGGCAGGGCUUGAGUGCGAGAGAGGAUGAUGGAAUUCCUGGUGUAGCGGUGAAAUGCGUAGAUAUCAGGAGGAGCACCGGUGGCGAAGGCGGUCAUCUGGCUCGUAACUGACGCUGAGGCACGAAAGCGCGGGGAUCAAACAGGAUUAGAUACCCUGGUAGUCCGCGCCCUAAACGAUGCUUACUAGCUUGUUUAGAAGUAAUUCUGGGCGGCCAAGCGAAGCGAUAGUCACGCCACCUGGAGUAGUACCGCCCGCAAGGAUGAUACUAAGGAUUGACGGGGCGUCCGCACAGCGGUAGGAUCCAUGUUGAUUCACUUCCGAUGCCACGCGUAGCACCCUACCGGGCUUGAAGUUGUUAAGC